UGUUCAAUAUCCAGAAAAGGUUUUUCGUUUAGGCGAAAAUAAAAGGGAAACGUGUUAAAAUCACGUGCUGUCGCGCAACUGUAAUUCCAACUCAUCGAGAAGUUGGAAAAGCCAGGUUACUUUCCAUUUCUGAUUCGCUCAC
Molecule: non-coding RNA, 142 nt
Filed under: Fluviicola taffensis
Lineage: Bacteria; Pseudomonadati; Bacteroidota; Flavobacteriia; Flavobacteriales; Crocinitomicaceae
Also listed under: 1 other name
Source: RNAcentral